GGCUCAGAAUCAACGCUGGCGGCGCGCUUAACACAUGCAAGUCGAACGAGAAAGCCGGGGCAACCUGGUGAGUAAAGUGGCGUACGGGUGAGUAACACGUGGGUGAUCUACCCUCUGGUGGGGAAUAACCCUGGGAAACUGGGGCUAAUACCGCAUAAGUCCGCGAGGAGAAAGUCGCAAGACGCCGGAGGAGGAGCCCGCGGCCGAUUAGCUAGUUGGUGAGGUAACGGCCCACCAAGGCUAUGAUCGGUAGCCGGCCUGAGAGGGCACACGGCCACACUGGCACUGAAACACGGGCCAGACUCCUACGGAAGGCAGCAGUGGGGAAUCUUGCACAAUGGGGGCAACCCUGAUGCAGCGACGCCGCGUGAGCGAUGAAGCCCUUCGGGGUGUAAAGCUCUUUCGGCAGGAACGAUAAUGACGGUACCUGCAGAAGAAGCUGCGGCUAACUACGUGCCAGCAGCCGCGGUAAUACGUAGGCAGCAAGCGUUGUUCGGAGUUACUGGGCGUAAAGAGUGCGUAGGCGGUCCUUUAAGUUCGGUGUGAAAUCUCCCGGCUCAACUGGGAGGGUGCGCCGGAAACUGGAGGGCUCGAGUAUGGGAGAGGAAAGCGGAAUUCCUGGUGUAGCGGUGAAAUGCGUAGAUAUCAGGAGGAACACCUGCGGUGUAGACGGCUUUCUGGACCAUGACUGACGCUGAGGCACGAAAGCGUGGGGAGCAAACAGGAUUAGAUACCCUGGUAGUCCACGCCCUAAACGAUGCAUACUUGGUGUAGGCCGUUCAGUCGGUCUGUGCCGGAGCUAACGCGUUAAGUAUGCCGCCUGGGGAGUACGGUCGCAAGGCUGAAACUUAAA
This 853-nucleotide ribosomal RNA is filed under the name uncultured bacterium. Its description in RNAcentral is "bacterial SSU rRNA". It matches the Rfam family "Bacterial small subunit ribosomal RNA", at positions 21 to 905 of the family's 1533-position model. The record is from RNAcentral.